RNAcentral lists this ribosomal RNA (228 nucleotides) under Staphylococcus chromogenes. RNAcentral's name for it is "partial 23S ribosomal RNA". It matches the Rfam family "Bacterial large subunit ribosomal RNA", at positions 979 to 1207 of the family's 2925-position model. Lineage: Bacteria; Bacillati; Bacillota; Bacilli; Caryophanales; Staphylococcaceae. The record is from RNAcentral.
GGGAGUCAGAACAUGGGUGAUAAGGUCCGUGUUCGAAAGGGAAACAGCCCAGACCACCAGCUAAGGUCCCAAAAUAUAUGUUAAGUGGAAAAGGAUGUGGCGUUGCCCAGACAACUAGGAUGUUGGCGUAGAAGCAGCCAUCAUUUAAAGAGUGCGUAAUAGCUCACUAGUCGAGUGACACUGCGCCGAAAAUGUACCGGGGCUAAACAUAUUACCGAAGCUGUGGAU